AUAAUCACAUAAUCUUCCAACAGAUGUUAUUCUCAUGAAUGAUCAAUUAGCUAAGCAUAGAUAUAAUCAUGAAUUCAUGGAAUCAUUCCUAACCAGAUAAAGUGUUACACUCAAGCAUUCAAAAGUGUUUCACUCAAAGGUGUAUAAAGGCCACUCUUUCCCUCUAUUAUCUACAUGUCACAGAAUAAAAUUUCCUUUCAUUUACCACAAUUAACAUUCUCACACACACGUCAUCACAAGGACUUUUUCAAGGCUUAUAAUGUGGCUUGGGCUAACAAGAAAAAUUGGUUUUUCUAGAUCACAAAAUCCUUGAGUUAAGAGAGUUAUUUAUACAUUCAUAAUUCAAGCACAAACUCUCUUUAACCAAUCAAUCUCAUUCCCAAGUUUCCCCCUUUUUUCAUUGAGCUUAUCUUUCUUUCAUUCUAUCUUUUUCAUCUUUUUCUAUCAUUUUCAUCUUUCCCAACAACCCCAAACUUGAACCUUUAUCAAUACCAUGCAAUAAUUCUCAACUUACC
Molecule: long non-coding RNA, 515 nt
Filed under: Vigna radiata
Lineage: Eukaryota; Viridiplantae; Streptophyta; Magnoliopsida; Fabales; Fabaceae
Description: long non-coding RNA (VRAD_LNC005501)
Source: RNAcentral